AAUCAACGCUGGCGGCGUGCCUAACACAUGCAAGUCGAACGAGAAAGGGACUUCGGUCCUGAGUACAGUGGCGCACGGGUGAGUAACACGUGACUAACCUACCCUUGAGUGGGGGAUAACUUCGGGAAACCGAGGCUAAUACCGCAUAAUACCUACGGGUCAAAGGAGCAAUUCGCUUUAGGAGGGGGUCGCGGCAGAUUAGUUAGUUGGCGGGGUAAUGGCCCACCAAGACGGUGAUCUGUAUCCGGCCNGAGAGGGCGCACGGACACACUGGAACUGAAACACGGUCCAGACUCCUACGGGAGGCAGCAGUGGGGAAUUUUGCGCAAUGGGGGAACCCUGACGCAGCAACGCCGCGUGGAGGAUGAAGUCCC
RNAcentral lists this ribosomal RNA (374 nucleotides) under uncultured bacterium. RNAcentral's name for it is "bacterial SSU rRNA". It matches the Rfam family "Bacterial small subunit ribosomal RNA", at positions 32 to 417 of the family's 1533-position model. The record is from RNAcentral.